GAGAGGUAGGGCACUCGGCGAGAAGUGGGCAGUAACGAACGGCGGGGCCUUCCCGGCCCGGAGGACGGAUCCCGAAGACUCUGAAGGGAGGCUCGGAAGCUGUAUUUCAACAAUCCAAAGACAACGUCACACCUAUGUAAGGACACAAAGGUCAGGCGAGCAUCAACAAAAAGAAGUGUGGAGCCGGGUAAGCAAGAUGAGCAUUUCAGGAAGCAGCUGUGGAAGCCCUAAUUCCACAGAUAUAUCCAGUGACUUCAAGGAGCUCUGGACAAAACUAAAAGAAUAUCAUGAUAAGGAAGUACAAGGUUUACAAAUCAAAGUAACCAAACUGAAA
Molecule: long non-coding RNA, 334 nt
Filed under: Rattus norvegicus (Norway rat)
Lineage: Eukaryota; Metazoa; Chordata; Mammalia; Rodentia; Muridae
Description: long non-coding RNA NONRATT013210
Source: RNAcentral